This 1942-nucleotide ribosomal RNA is filed under the name human gut metagenome. RNAcentral describes it as "bacterial LSU rRNA". It matches the Rfam family "Bacterial large subunit ribosomal RNA", at positions 3 to 1983 of the family's 2925-position model. The record is from RNAcentral.
UUAAGCAAAGAAGAGCGCAGGGUGGAUGCCUUGGCACUAAGAGCCGAAGAAAGACGUGAUAAGCUGCGAAAAGCUGCGGGGAGAUGCAAAUAAUCCUUGAUCCGCAGAUGUCUGAAUGGGGAAACCCGGUACGAAGAACUCGUAUCAUCCAUACGCCAAUCCAUAACGUAUGGAGGGGAACCCGGUGAACUGAAACAUCUAAGUAGCCGGAGGAAGAGAAAGAAACAUCGAUUUUGUUAGUAGCGGCGAGCGAAAGCGAAAGAGGCCAAACCGGAGUGCGUGCACUCCGGGGUUCGGACCGCAUUUAAGAUUCAGUGAUUCUAGCAGAAAGGUUUGGGAAAGCCUGCCGGAGAGGGUGAAAGCCCCGUAAGCGAAAGGAGAGCUGACUGAGCGGGAUCCAGAGUACAUCGAGACACGAGAAACCUUGAUGGAAUGAGCGGGGACCACCCCGUAAGCCUAAAUACUACUUAGUGACCGAUAGCGCAUAGUACUGUGAAGGAAAGGUGAAAAGGACCCCGGGAGGGGAGUGAAAGAGAACCUGAAACCCUGUGUUUACAAGCUGUCGGAGCACUUUAAAUGUGCGACGGCGUACUUUUUGUAGAACGGUCCGGCGAGUUAUGGCAUGUGGUAAGGUUAAGUACUUCAGGUACGGAGCCGAAGCGAAAGCGAGUGUGAACAGCACGUAAGAAUCGCCUGCCAUAGACCCGAAACCGGGUGAUCUAUCCAUGUCCAGGAUGAAGCUGCCGUAAGAGGUAGUGGAGGUCCGAACACACAUCCGUUGAAAAGGGUGGUGAUGAGGUGUGGAUAGGGGAGAAAUUCCAAUCGAACCCGGAGAUAGCUGGUUCUCCUCGAAAUAGCUUUAGGGCUAGCCUCGAUUUAGUCUUAUGGAGGUAGAGCACUGAAUUUCCGCGGGGGCGUCAAAGCUUACCAAAGAAUAUCAAACUCCGAAUGCCAUGUAGAUGAUGAACGGGAGUCAGACUGCACGAGAUAAGUUGGGCGGUCAAAAGGGAAAGAGCCCAGACCUUCAGUUAAGGUCCCCAAGUGCGCGUUAAGUGGAAAAGGAUGUGGGAUUUCGAAGACAACCAGGAUGUUGGCUCAGAAGCAGCCAUCCAUUCAAAGAGUGCGUAAUAGCUCACUGGUCGAGAGGUCCUGCGCCGAAAAUGUCCGGGGCUGAAACGCGCCACCGAAACUAAGGAACCGAAAGGUUGGUAGAGGAGCAUUGCAUGCGGAACGAAGCAGUACCGUAAGGAGCUGUGGACUGCAUGGAAGAGAGAAUGCCGGAAUGAGUAGCGAGAAUAAGGUGAGAAUCCUUAUGGCCGAAUAUCCAAGGUUUCCAGAGUAAAGCUGAUCUGCUCUGGGUAAGUCGGGGCCUAAGGCGAGGACGAGAGUCGUAGCCGAUGGACAACAGGUGGAGAUUCCUGUACUGCGGUAUGACAGAACUGUGGGGACACGUAAGGAAAGCGGAAGCCGGGAAUGGAAAGCCCGGUGCAAGCGGGGUACCAGUCACUUUGGCAAAUCCGGGUGGCAAUGGGAAGCCGUGAUGCGGAGUGAAAUAAAGUAACGAAGUCCGUGAGCCAUGCGUCAAGAAAAGCCGCUAUCGUUUAUACCGUACCCGUACCGUAAACCGACACAGGUGGAUGAGGAGAGAAUCCUAAGGCCGGCGGAAGAAGCAUUGUCAAGGAACUCGGCAAAAUGGCCCCGUAACUUAGGGAUAAGGGGUGCCUGGGAAACCAGGCCGCAGAGAAUAGGCUCAAGCAACUGUUUAGCAAAAACACAGGUCUAUGCGAAACCGAAAGGUGAGGUAUAUGGGCUGACGCCUGCCCGGUGCUGGAAGGUUAAGAGGAGAGGUUAGCGCAAGCGAAGCUUUGAAUUUAAGCCCCAGUAAACGGCGGCCGUAACUAUAACGGUCCUAAGGUAGCGAAAUUCCUUGUCGGGUAAGUUC